Non-coding RNA from Ictidomys tridecemlineatus (thirteen-lined ground squirrel), 61 nucleotides. Lineage: Eukaryota; Metazoa; Chordata; Mammalia; Rodentia; Sciuridae. The record is from Rfam.
UAUAGCUCAGUGGUACAACACUUGCCUGACAUGCAUGAGGCCCUGGGUUUAAUUCCCAGUA